This 405-nucleotide ribosomal RNA is filed under the name uncultured bacterium. Its description in RNAcentral is "partial 16S ribosomal RNA". It matches the Rfam family "Bacterial small subunit ribosomal RNA", at positions 28 to 526 of the family's 1533-position model. The record is from RNAcentral.
GACGAACGCUGGCGGCGUGCUUAACACAUGCAAGUCGAGCGGAGCGGCGAACGGGAGAGUAACGCGUGAGUAACUGCCCCCCUCUCUGGGAUAACAGUUGGAAACGGCUGCUAAUACCGGAUAGGGGGGAGGGACUCGCGGCCUAUAAGCUUGUUGGUUGGGUAGUGGCCUACCAAGGCGACGACAGGUAGCCGGCCUGAGAGUGCGACCGGCCACAUUGGGCUGAGAUACGGCCCAAACUCCUACGGGGGGCAGCAGUGGGGAAUAGUGCACAAUGGACGAAACCCUUAUGCAGCAACGCCUCGUGCGUGAUGUCGGCCUUCGGGUUGUAAACCGCUUUCAGCCAUGACGCGGUAGUGGCAGAAGAAGCACCGGCUAACUACGUGCCAGCAGCCGCGGUAAUAC